RNAcentral lists this unclassified non-coding RNA (203 nucleotides) under Hevea brasiliensis (rubber tree). The record is from RNAcentral. Lineage: Eukaryota; Viridiplantae; Streptophyta; Magnoliopsida; Malpighiales; Euphorbiaceae.
GGCUGUCAUCGUCUCUAAGGCCAUACGAAAGCGAGAUGAUAGAAAGGGAAGAACCAGAGAUGGUUCAACAUAUGAAAGGAUAGAAGUGGCAGCUGCAACGGUUUCAGAAAGAUGUUCAUUUUUGCUAUACUGUCCACGAUCAAUUAGCUUGAGAAUAGAAUGCACAAAAGAAACCCUCUCUGACUGCCCUAGGAAGAUUUCAG